CCCUUAGAUGUUCUGGGCCGCACGCGCGCUACACUGAUGCAUUCAACGAGUCUAAAACCUGGUCUGAUAGGGCUGGGUAAUCUUUUGAAUGUGCAUCGUGAUUGGGAUAGAUGAUUGCAAUUCUUCAUCUUCAACGAGGAAUGCCUAGUAAACGCAAGUCAUCAGCUUGCAUUGAUUACGUCCCUGCCCUUUGUACACACCGCCCGUCGCUCCUACCGAUUGAAUGUUCCGAUGAAUACCAUGGACUGAGCGUAUGAAUGGGUUCGCCUAUUUCUGCUUCUCGGGAAGUGGAGUAAAUCUUAACAUUUAGAGGAAGGAGAAGUCGUAACA
This 330-nucleotide ribosomal RNA is filed under the name uncultured eukaryote. Its description in RNAcentral is "partial 18S ribosomal RNA". It matches the Rfam family "Eukaryotic small subunit ribosomal RNA", at positions 1470 to 1796 of the family's 1831-position model. The record is from RNAcentral.